This 274-nucleotide long non-coding RNA is filed under the name Physcomitrium patens. RNAcentral describes it as "long non-coding RNA (PPAT_LNC013989)". The record is from RNAcentral. Lineage: Eukaryota; Viridiplantae; Streptophyta; Bryopsida; Funariales; Funariaceae.
ACGGAUGCUCUUCGACUGCUUGUCGAAGUCCUUUUUGCCCCAGCCGAUAGGUCUCUAGACGUUACAGAGAACCCCGAACAACCCAAACUGUUAAUCUUCAAUAUCGCUUUGUACUUACGAUCUUGUAUCCACUGACUGUCUUGUUAGAUUAACCCAAUAAAUUUCAUUCAUUUCGCAUACUCAAUCCUAUAGACACCCUUUUAAUCCUUCAAUCACAGACGUAACUCGAUUUCACAAAACAGUCAAGAGUAUUCAAACCCACUUCAUUAAAAAU